GAACUCUCGUUAAGGAACUCGGCAAAUUAGUCCCGUAACUUCGGAAUAAGGGACGCCCCGUGUAGUGUGAAGUCCCCGCGGAUGGAGCACGAGGGGGCCGCAGUGAAACGGGCCAAGCGACUGUUUACCAAAAACACAGGGCUCUGCAAAAUCGAAAGAUGAAGUAUAGGGCCUGACACCUGCCCGGUGCCGGAAGGUUAAAAGGAGGGGUUAGCGUGAUUUAUCAUGCGAAGCUCUGAAUUGAAGCCCCGGUAAACGGCGGCCGUAACUAUGACGGUCCUAAGGUAGCGAAAUUCCUUGUCGGGUAAGUUCCGACCUGCACGAAUGGUGUAACGACUUGGUCACUGUCUCAACGAGAGACUCGGCGAAAUUGUAGUGUUUGUGAAGAUGCGGACUACCUGCAGAAGGACGGAAAGACCCCGUGAACCUUUACUGUAGCCUGACACUGUAGUUUGGUUCAGUAUGUGUAGGAUAGGUGGGAGACGUGGAAACCGGGACGCCAGUUUCGGUGGAGUCAUCCUUGAAAUACCACCCUUAUUGUAUUGGACUACUAACUGGCACCUGUUGAUCCAGGGCUAGGACACUGUCUGGUGGGCAGUUUGACUGGGGCGGUCGCCUCCAAAAAUGUAACGGAGGCGCCCUAAGGUUCCCUCAGCACGGACGGAAAUCGUGCGCAGAGUGUAAACGCACAAGGGAGCUUGACUGCGAGACCUACAAGUCGAGCAGGUACGAAAGUAGGGGUUAGUGAUCCGGUGGUCCUGUAUGGAAAGGCCAUCGCUCAACGGAUAAAAGGUACUCCGGGGAUAACAGGCUUAUAGUGCCCAAGAGUUCAUAUCGACGGCACUGUUUGGCACCUCGAUGUCGGCUCUUCGCAUCCUGGGGCUGGAGAAGGUCCCAAGGGUUCGGCUGUUCGCCGAUUAAAGCGGAACGCGAGCUGGGUUCAGAACGUCGUGAGACAGUUUGGUCCCUAUCCUCUGCAGGCGUUGGAAAUUUGAAGAGAUCUGUCCCUAGUACGAGAGGACCGGGAUGGACGAACCUCUGGUGUACCAGUUGUCGCGCCAGCGGCACCGCUGGGUAGCUAUGUUCGGAAGGGAUAACCGCUGAAAGCAUCUAAGCGGGAAGCCUACUCUAAGAUUAGAUUUCCCCUGGCCUUCGGGCCACUGAAGACCCCUCGGAGACUACGAGGUUGAUAGGCUGGAGGUGUAAGCGCAGCGAUGCGUUCAGCCGACCAGUACUAAUCGGUCGUGAGGCUUGACC
Molecule: ribosomal RNA, 1257 nt
Filed under: metagenome
Description: bacterial LSU rRNA
Rfam family: Bacterial large subunit ribosomal RNA
Source: RNAcentral